This 460-nucleotide ribosomal RNA is filed under the name uncultured bacterium. Its description in RNAcentral is "partial 16S ribosomal RNA". It matches the Rfam family "Bacterial small subunit ribosomal RNA", at positions 338 to 795 of the family's 1533-position model. The record is from RNAcentral.
CCUACGGGAGACUGCAGUGAGGAAUAUUGGUCAAUGGCCGGAAGGCUGAACCAGCCAUGCCGCGUGAAGGUCAGUGCCCUAUGGGCGUUAAACUUCUUUUGUGCGGGAGCAAUAAUGGUCACGUGUGGCCAGACGAGAGUACCGUACGAAUAAGCAUCGGCUAACUCCGUGCCAGUAGCCGCGGUAAUACGGGGGAUGCAAGCGUUAUCCGGAUUUAUUGGGUUUAAAGGGUGCGUAGGCUGUGAGGUAAGUCAGCGGUGAAAUGCCCCCGCUCAACGGGGUGAAGUGCCAUUGAUACUGCCUGGCUGGAAUGCGGAUGCGGUGGGAGGAAUGUGUGGUGUAGCGGUGAAAUGCAUAGAUAUCACACAGAACACCGAUUGCGAAGGCGGCUUUCUGGCUCAUAACUGACGCUGAGGCGCGAAAGCGUGGGGAGCAAACAGGAUUAGAUACCCGAGUAGUC